RNAcentral lists this ribosomal RNA (497 nucleotides) under uncultured bacterium. RNAcentral describes it as "partial 16S ribosomal RNA". It matches the Rfam family "Bacterial small subunit ribosomal RNA", at positions 28 to 507 of the family's 1533-position model. The record is from RNAcentral.
GAUGAACGCUGGCGGCGUGCCUAAUACAUGCAAGUCGAGCGAACGGACGAGAAGCUUGCUUCUCUGAUGUUAGCGGCGGACGGGUGAGUAACACGUGGAUAACCUACCUAUAAGACUGGGAUAACUUCGGGAAACCGGAGCUAAUACCGGAUAAUAUUUUGAACCGCAUGGUUCAAAAGUGAAAGACGGUCUUGCUGUCACUUAUAGAUGGAUCCGCGCUGCAUUAGCUAGUUGGUAAGGUAACGGCUUACCAAGGCAAGGAUGCAUAGCCGACCUGAGAGGGUGAUCGGCCACACUGGAACUGAGACACGGUCCAGACUCCUACGGGGGGCAGCAGUAGGGAAUCUUCCGCAAUGGGCGAAAGCCUGACGGAGCAACGCCGCGUGAGUGAUGAAGGUCUUCGGAUCGUAAAACUCUGUUAUUAGGGAAGAACAUAUGUGUAAGUAACUGUGCACACCUUGACGGUACCUAAUCAGAAAGCCACGGCUAACUACGUG